Non-coding RNA from Dipodomys ordii (Ord's kangaroo rat), 70 nucleotides. The record is from Rfam. NCBI's taxonomy places the organism in Eukaryota, Metazoa, Chordata, Mammalia, Rodentia, Heteromyidae.
GGGAAAGUAGCUCAGUGGUAGACUGCAUGCCUUGCAAGCAUGAGGCCCUGGGUUCGAUUCCUCAGCACCA